Molecule: ribosomal RNA, 492 nt
Filed under: uncultured bacterium
Lineage: Bacteria
Description: partial 16S ribosomal RNA
Rfam family: Bacterial small subunit ribosomal RNA
Source: RNAcentral
AGUGAACGCUGGCGGUAGGCCUAACACAUGCAAGUCGAACGGCAGCACAGUAAGAGCUUGCUCUUACGGGUGGCGAGUGGCGGACGGGUGAGGAAUACAUCGGAAUCUACUUUUUCGUGGGGGAUAACGUAGGGAAACUUACGCUAAUACCGCAUACGACCUACGGGUGAAAGCAGUGGAUCUUCGGACCUUUCGCGAUUGAAUGAGCCGAUGUCGGAUUAGCUAGUUGGCGGGGUAAAGGCCCACCAAGGCGACGAUCCGUAGCUGGUCUGAGAGGAUGAUCGGCCACACUGGAACUGAGACACGGUCCAGACUCCUACGGGAGGCAGCAGUGGGGAAUAUUGGACAAUGGGCGCAAGCCUGACCCAGCCAUACCGCGUGGGUGAAGAAGGCCUUCGGGUUGUAAAGCCCUUUUGUUGGGAAAGAAAAGCAGCAGGUUAAUACCCCGCUGUUCUGACGGUACCCAAAGAAUAAGCACCGGCUAACUUCGUG